AUUAGGGUGGCAGAGCCUGGUAAUUGCAAAAGACCUAAAACCUUUAUACCGAGGGUUCAAAUCCCACCCCUAAUU
This 75-nucleotide transfer RNA is filed under the name Hemidactylium scutatum (four-toed salamander). RNAcentral's name for it is "tRNA-Leu". It matches the Rfam family "tRNA". From Rfam's summary of the family: Transfer RNA (tRNA) molecules are approximately 80 nucleotides in length. Their secondary structure includes four short double-helical elements and three loops (D, anti-codon, and T loops). Further hydrogen bonds mediate the characteristic L-shaped molecular structure. tRNAs have two regions of fundamental functional importance: the anti-codon, which is responsible for specific mRNA codon recognition, and the 3' end, to which the tRNAs corresponding amino acid is attached (by aminoacyl-tRNA synthetases). tRNAs cope with the degeneracy of the genetic code in two manners: having more than one tRNA (with a specific anti-codon) for a particular amino acid; and 'wobble' base-pairing, i.e. permitting non-standard base-pairing at the 3rd anti-codon position. Lineage: Eukaryota; Metazoa; Chordata; Amphibia; Caudata; Plethodontidae. The record is from RNAcentral.